AGUGUGCCGUUGCUGGCUCUGAGAAGUAGGAGCCUUGUGCAAGGAUUCAGGAGAGGCCUCUAGAAACUGAGGAUGGCCCUCAACUGGCAAGCACAGGCAACUGAAUUCGGCCAGGCAUCUGGGUCCUGUGCUAGGGGCUAGGAAGACAAAGAGAAACAGAGUCACAUCCUCCCACAAAAAUCCAUGAGAUGUCGGAGAGCCGAACUUGUAAACAGCCAUCAUCAACACAAAGAAGGAUGCACUGAUGCUCUCUAGAGGCUCACAGGAAAUGAUUCAUGGGCAUAGAGGUGCUGUGACAGCAUCAAUCAGGCCUUGGCAGGCGAGGGAGCCCUCUGAAGAA
Molecule: long non-coding RNA, 340 nt
Filed under: Homo sapiens (human)
Lineage: Eukaryota; Metazoa; Chordata; Mammalia; Primates; Hominidae
Description: HSALNT0331954
Source: RNAcentral